AUUGAACGCUGGCGGAAUGCUUUACACAUGCAAGUCGAACGGCAGCACGGGGCAACCUGGUGGCGAGUGGCGAACGGGUGAGUAAUACAUCGGAACGUGCCCAAUCGUGGGGGAUAACGUAGCGAAAGUUACGCUAAUACCGCAUACGAUCUACGGAUGAAAGCGGGGGAUCGCAAGACCUCGCGCGAGUGGAGCGGCCGAUGUCAGAUUAGGUAGUUGGUGGGGUAAAGGCUCACCAAGCCAACGAUCUGUAGCUGGUCUGAGAGGACGACCAGCCACACUGGAACUGAGACACGGUCCAGACUCCUACGGGAGGCAGCAGUGGGGAAUUUUGGACAAUGGGCGAAAGCCUGAUCCAGCCAUGCCGCGUGCAGGAAGAAGGCCUCGGUUGUAACUAGCUUAGUCUAGGAAAAGGGUAGGCGAGGUUAAGUACCUACGUGCUUGUAUGGUACUGGAAGAAUAAGACACCGGCUAACUACGUGCCAGCAGCCGCGGUAAAACG
This 502-nucleotide ribosomal RNA is filed under the name uncultured bacterium. Its description in RNAcentral is "bacterial SSU rRNA". It matches the Rfam family "Bacterial small subunit ribosomal RNA", at positions 29 to 527 of the family's 1533-position model. The record is from RNAcentral.